GGCAAGAUGGCCGAGCGGUCUAAGGCGUCAGGUUAAGGUCCUGAUCUCCGACAGGGGGCGUGGGUUCGAAUCCCACUCUUGUCA
RNAcentral lists this transfer RNA (84 nucleotides) under Aspergillus ruber CBS 135680. RNAcentral describes it as "tRNA-Leu (AAG) (tRNA-Leu-AAG-1-1)". It matches the Rfam family "tRNA". From Rfam's summary of the family: Transfer RNA (tRNA) molecules are approximately 80 nucleotides in length. Their secondary structure includes four short double-helical elements and three loops (D, anti-codon, and T loops). The record is from RNAcentral. Lineage: Eukaryota; Fungi; Ascomycota; Eurotiomycetes; Eurotiales; Aspergillaceae.